This 859-nucleotide ribosomal RNA is filed under the name uncultured archaeon. RNAcentral's name for it is "bacterial SSU rRNA". It matches the Rfam family "Archaeal small subunit ribosomal RNA", at positions 38 to 903 of the family's 1478-position model. The record is from RNAcentral.
UUGAUACUAAGCCAUGCGAGUCAUUGUAGCAAUACAAGGCAUACGGCUCAGUAACGCGUAGUCAACCUAACCUAUGGACGGGAAUAACCUCGGGAAACUGAGAAUAAUGCCCGAUAGAACAUUAUAUCUGGAAUGGUUUAUGUUCCAAAUGAUUUAUCGCCGUAGGAUGGGACUGCGGCCUAUCAGUUUGUUGGUGAGGUAAUGGCCCACCAAGACUAUUACAGGUACGGGCUCUGAGAGGAGUAGCCCGGAGAUGGGUACUGAGACACGGACCCAGGCCCUAUGGGGCGCAGCAGGCGAGAAAACUUUGCAAUGUGCGAAAGCACGACAAGGUUAAUCCGAGUGAUUUCUGCUAAAGAAAUCUUUUGUUAGUCCUAGAAACACUAACGAAUAAGGGGUGGGCAAGUUCUGGUGUCAGCCGCCGCGGUAAAACCAGCACCUCAAGUGGUCAGGAUGAUUAUUGGGCCUAAAGCAUCCGUAGCCGGCUCUGUAAGUUUUCGGUUAAAUCUGUACGCUUAACGUACAGGCCGCCGGGAAUACUGCAAAGCUAGGGAGUGGGAGAAGUAGACGGUACUCGGUAGGAAGUGGUAAAAUGCUUUGAUCUAUCGAUGACCACCUGUGGCGAAGGCGGUCUACUAGAACACGUCCGACGGUGAGGGAUGAAAGCUGGGGGAGCAAACCGGAUUAGAUACCCGGGUAGUCCCAGCUGUAAACUAUGCAAACUCAGUGAUGCAUUGGCUUGUGGCCAAUGCAGUGCUGCAGGGAAGCCGUUAAGUUUGCCGCCUGGGAAGUACGUACGCAAGUAUGAAACUUAAAGGAAUUGGCGGGGGAGCACCACAAGGGGUGAAGCCUGCGGUUC